GUUGAUAAUAAUGGUUGGAACCAUAUUUUGAGUUUUUGGACGAAUUUUUGGCUCAAAAUUUCCAUAAGUGUGAGUUAUUAAGUUAAAAAGCUAUAAAUCAAAGUUUUAUGGUAUUUAAGUACUUUUUUUGUGAGAUAUAAAGAAAUUAGAAUGUGGAUGUAUGUAAGCUAGGGUUUAAAGCUAUUGUUAGGAUUUUGGUGAUAUCUCA
RNAcentral lists this long non-coding RNA (208 nucleotides) under Physcomitrium patens. Its description in RNAcentral is "long non-coding RNA (PPAT_LNC012649)". The record is from RNAcentral. Lineage: Eukaryota; Viridiplantae; Streptophyta; Bryopsida; Funariales; Funariaceae.